This 314-nucleotide ribosomal RNA is filed under the name uncultured bacterium. RNAcentral describes it as "bacterial SSU rRNA". The stretch from base 33 to 314 matches the Rfam family "Bacterial small subunit ribosomal RNA", at positions 60 to 325 of the family's 1533-position model. The record is from RNAcentral.
GUCAGGAGGGCCUAUCGGGGUGAUAACACUGCAGUCGAACGAUGAAACUUAAUUGAUUUCUUCGGAAUGAUGUUAAGUGGAUUAGUGGCGGACGGGUGAGUAACGCGUGAGUAACCUGCCUUAGAGAUGGGGAUAGCCUCUGGAAACUGAGAAUAAAACCCAAUGAUACCAAGUUAUCGCAUGAUAGCCUGGUCAAAGAUUUAUCGCUCUAAGAUGGACUUGCGUCUGAUUUGCUAGUUGGGGAGAUAAUAUCUCACCAAGGCAACGAUCCGUAGCCGGCUUGAGAGAGUGUACGGCCACAUUGGGACUGAGAC